RNAcentral lists this ribosomal RNA (1014 nucleotides) under Morpholycus sp. 1 NLG-2012. Its description in RNAcentral is "partial 16S ribosomal RNA". Lineage: Eukaryota; Metazoa; Arthropoda; Insecta; Coleoptera; Pyrochroidae. The record is from RNAcentral.
UUUGUAUAUCGUCGUAAGUUGAAUAUUUUAAUAUUUAAUAUUUUCAGAUCAAGGUGUAGUUGAUAUUUAAGUUAAAAUGGGUUACAUUUAAAAUUAUAAUUAAAUUGGAUUUGAUAGUAAGCUCUAAAAUAUGCACAUAUCGCCCGUCGCUUUCAUUAUAAAAUGAAAUAAGUCGUAACAAAGUAGGUUUAUUGGAAAAUGAACCUAGAAUGCAAAUUAGAGCUUGAUAAGUAUUUUAUUUACAUUAAAAAGUUAAUUGUGAAAUUCAAUUUAAUUUGAUUAUAAGAUUUUAUUAAAAAUUUUAUUUAUUAAUUAUUAAAAAUUUAUAUUUUUUAUUAGUUUUAUGAAAAAAUUUAAUUAUAGUUUAUAGUAUUGUAAAAGAAAAUUUUUAUAAUUUAAUAAGGAAUUUUGAUUUAUUGUACCUUGUGUAUCAGGGUUUAUUAAUUUAAUAUUCUCGAAUUUUAAAGAGUUAAUAUUAUUGUAUUAAAAAUAUUUAAAAUAAUUUAUUAGUAAUGAAACGUUAUUCGUUUUUUUAUAUAUCUAGUUUUUUAAGAAAUAAAUUUAAUUUAUUGAUUUUAUAAAUAUAUUAAUAAGGGAUAAGCUUUAAAAUAAAGUUUUAUAAAUUAAUUAAAUUAUAAAAAUAAUAGGAUUAGAAUUUUUUAUUUAUAAUAAAAUGUUAUAAUUAAUUAUUUUAAAUUUUUUAUUAAAAAAUAAAUUUUAAUAUUAUAGAUUAAGUUAUAAUGAUAAAAUUAGUAAGGUUAUUUUAAGGAAUUAGGCAAAUUUAUUUUUCACCUGUUUAAUAAAAACAUGGCUUUUUGUUUAUAUUUUAAAGUUAGGCCUGCCCAAUGAUUUAAUGGCUGCAGUAUUUUGACUGUACAAAGGUAGCAUAAUCAUUAGUUUUUUAAUUGAAAGCUGGAAUGAAAGGUUUGAUGAGAAAAUUACUGUCUCUAGAAUUUUAUUUUUAAGUAAAAAAGCUUAAAUUUUUUAAAAAGACGAGAAGACCCUAUAGAAUUU